GUGCCAGCCGGCCGCGGUAAUGCCGGCAGCCCAAGUGAUGGCCGCUGUUAUUGGGCCUAAAGCGUCCGUAGCUGGCCGCACAAGUCCGUCGGGAAAUCCACCCGCCCAACGGGUGGGCGUCCGGUGGAAACUGCGUGGCUUGGGACCGGAAGGCGCGACGGGUACGUCCGGGGUAGGAGUGAAAUCCCGUAAUCCUGGACGGACCGCCGAUGGCGAAAGCACGUCGCGAAGACGGAUCCGACAGUGAGGGACGAAAGCCAGGGUCUCCAACCGGAUUAGAAACCCCGGUAGUCC
Molecule: ribosomal RNA, 294 nt
Filed under: uncultured bacterium
Lineage: Bacteria
Description: partial 16S ribosomal RNA
Rfam family: Archaeal small subunit ribosomal RNA
Source: RNAcentral